CUCGCCCUCCUCCCCAACAAGGCCGCCGCCGCCGCAGGCAGUAACAAGUCCCCCACGAAGUCCGCCGCGAAGUCGCCGAAGUAGUGUCUUGUCUCACGUUCACCCCGUCCUAUACACUGUGGUUGUGGAUGUCGACUUUUGCCGUUUUGGAAGUGUGUAGUGAUGCGUCGCCUGCGAUUAACCUAAGUUCUAGUUAAAUUUCUAGCUCUAGUGCUGCUUGGUAAUGGGGUCUGCAUGCAAUAUGGUGUUCACAUGUGAUGAUACAAAAAUGUCAAACUCAGACAUAGAUAAAGUGAAAUUGUUUCUCCUUUUGUAUUUCCUUACAAAUUGGGUAUUACAGAAACUUAGGUUAAAAUUAUUCACUUUGAGUUAUUCCGAACCAAGCACCUAAUAAUAACUUAGAUUAUACAGAACAAUCAAGUCGCAUGGCUAACGCCUAGUCAGCGUUUGAACUUCGGACAGUGAGUUAUUCCGAAGUCCGUGGCCUUCUCGAUGAGGUUGGUGAGCGAGUGCUCGUACUCGAAUUCAGUGAGGUCGCACAACAUCUUCCCAGCAUCCCCUCCCGCUGUCGCCCCGUGUUCUGUUCUAUAGCUAGAAAUACGGUGGCGAUGUGCCUUGUACAAGAUGCAAAGGCGUCAACGUUUUUGUUUGUUACUUUGCUGUUUUUUGAAAUUGACGGGACCUGAACAUUGUCUAGUCAUGAGAACACAAAUCAUCCGCAGAUUAUUGCCCCGAAAUUUGUAUUGCUCACUGUCUGGGAGAGUUUGUCCAGCAUUCCACUUGAAGCAAAUUGGUUGCAUAUUUGAAUCCUCAACCCAAUCUGCACACGUGUCUAUCUACAAUUGACCUGGUACAACAAUUCAACAACGACGCUAAGUCACUAGUUUAACUACAUUUCAGAUACACCAAUACAGCAUCAAAGCAGCACAAUACUACAGAUGUGCUGUUGGGCACAUAUGUAUUGUAUGCAGCCUGAAGAUUUUGGUCGGAUGUGCCUGUCAAUCUACCAAUUUCGUCAUAAAUGGACACAGAUGCAACAUGUAUGCAGCCAUCACUUCGUUUGGUAACGCUAGCACCCAUAUCACAGAUGUUUGCAAAACAUGAUAGGAUGCAAAUCUUACUUAUUAUGGAAUGAUAAGAGAGAAUUAGUUCAGCAUCAAAUAAAGCAAGGCACUUCUUCCCAUUAAACUUCACAUGGAAUGGAGACCCCAUUACCAAGCAACACUAGAGCUAGAAAUUUAACUAGAACUUAGGUCAAUCGCAGGCGACACAUCACUACACACUUGCAAAACGGCAAAAGUCAACAUCCACAACCACAGUGUAUAGCACGGGGUGAACGUGAGACGAGACACUACUUCGGCUACUUCGCGGCGGCCUUCGUGGGGGACUUGCUGCUGCCUGCGGCGGCGACGACCUUGUUGGGGAGGAGGGCGGGGUUGAUGUUGGACAACACACCAUCGUGCGUGAUGGUGACCUCGACAAGCAGAUUGCCGAGCUCCUCGUCCUUGCGGAUGGCCAGGAGGAGGUAGCGCGGGACGAUGCGGCCCCUCUUGCUGUCACGCGCCGCGGCACCCGCCAGCUCCAUGACCUCGGCGGCGAGGUACUCGAGGACGCUGGCAAGGAACACGGGCGCGCCCCUACCGACGCGUUGCCCGUACUGACCUUCCUUCAGGUACCACCUGAUGCGCCCAACUGGAACUGGAGCCCGGCCUUGACAGUUCGCGACACCGCAUUCUUCUUUGGCCCGCCGCCCAGCUUCCGCCCAAACGCAAACUUCUCCACCACCGCGCUGCCGUCCUCCAUCCCCCGAGAGCCUAGGGUGCACGUCUGCUCUAAUGUGGAGGCAAAGGGAAUUGUGAUUUGGAUUCGAAAUCGGAAUGCAGCGGAGGAAUGUUUUUAUAGCGGCGGGACGGGGAUGGUGUGGGGGACCGAUCCGCGGGACGUGAGCUUGACGCCGUUGGAUUUGAGGGGAAGGGGACGACCAGGAUUUGUUUUCGAGAGCACGAUCCGUUGGAUCGGGCAGUGAGGAACGAGAGCUUUUAUAGCUGUAUUUGGGAGAUCCCUUGGGUCGGUAGCUUGCAUGGCCCGUGGGCCGUCGGACGACAGUGGUCUAUACGCUGCGCGACUUUAGGACAAUUUAAAAAUGAUUGUAUUUUAUAUAAUUUAUGGCAACAACAAAACAUUCCGCUCCAACAGUAAAGCUCCCAAUCUAGAUUAUAGGGCAGCCCACUACGGUGUAGUAUAUUUGAGACACUUGAGAUGAUGCUUGUAACACCCGUGGUGUUAAUAGAAACUAAAACCCGACAUGGCAUCAUAUGCAUUGACAUCUUUGUGUUGUAAUACACUUAAAAUGUAUUCACUAAGACCAAAAAAAACUUUAAGUGAGAUAUGGUGAUGGAUAGAGAGUCGAAAAUCUAGUAUGAAAAACUCUAGUUUUGGUCCAAAUAUCAAAGUUAUAGGGUUUUCCAAACCAAGCAACUUUCAUGUGCACAGAUUUCCAAGUUUAAAGGAAAAAAUGGAGAAAAAUUCAAAACUAAGUCUUGACCUAGGGUUUGAAAUUCUGAAAUUUUUAUCAGCGAGCUCUCUUUAAGCCUUUUUAACUUUUAAUCCGUAGAUAGUUUGAAAAUGGUCGCUGUAACAAAGUUGUAGAGUUGCACUAGGUGCACAAACUUGAUUAAAUCACUUAACCCUAAAUCCAUAUGUGUUAGGGACCAUAAUUAGGGGUACCCUCAAGACGCCUAAUUCUCAGCUGGUAACCACCAUCAGCAUAAAGCUGCAGAGGCCUGAUGGGUGCGAUUAAGUCAGGGAUCAGUCCAUACGAGCGACUCGAUCACGCCUCGCCCGAGCCUAGCCUCGGACAAGGGCAGCCGACCCCGAGGGAUUUCCGUCUCGCCCGAGGCCCCCCUCCAACGGCGGACACAUCUCCAGCUCGCCCGAGGCCUUGCCUUCGCUAAGAAGCAACCCUGACUAAAUCGCCGCGCCGACCGACCGAGUCGCAGGAGCAUUUAACGCAAAGGUGGCCUGACACCUUUAUCCUGACGCGCGCCCCCCGGCAGAGCCGAAGUGACCGCCGUCACUUCGCCGCUCCACUGACCGGUCUGACAGAAGGACAGCGCCGCCUGCGCCACUCCGACUGCAGUGCCACUUGACAGAGUGAGACUGACAGGCAGUCAGGCCCUGCCAAAGGCGCCAUAGGAAACUCCGCUCCGCCCGACCCAGAGCUCGGACUCGGGCUAAGCCCGGAAGACGGCGAACUCCGCUCCGCCCGACCCAGGGCUCGGACUCGGGCUAGGCCCCGGAAGAUGGCGAACUCCGCUCCGCCCGACCCAGGGCUCGGACUCGGGCUAGGCCCCGGAAGACGGCGAACUCCGCUCCGCCCGACCCAGGGCUCGGACUCGGGCUAAGCCCCGGAAGGCGGCGAACUCCGCUCCGCCCGACCCAGGGCUCGGCGAACUCCGCUCCGCCCGACCCAGGGCUCGGACUCGGGCUAAGCCCCGGAAGACGGCGAACUCCGCUCCGCCCGACCCCGGGCUCGGACUCGGGCUAGGCCCCGGAAGACGGCGAACUCCGCUCCGCCCGACCCAGGGCUCGGACUCGGGCUAGGCCCCGGAAGACGACGAACUCCGCUUCGCCCGACCCCAGGGCUCGGACUCCGCCCUGGCCUCUGCCGAACGACCUCCGCCUCGCCCGACCCAGGGGCUCGGGCUCGGCCUCAGCAAUGGAAGACAGACUCGACCUCGGCUUCGGAGGAGCCUCCACGUCUCCCGACCUAGGGCGCAGGCCAGCCAGGUCAACAGGAAGCGCCAUCAUCACCCUACCCCGAGCCGACUCGGGCCGCAGAGAACAAGACCGACGUCCCAUCUGGCUAGCUUCGCCAGAUAGGCAAUGAUGGCGCCCCGCAAGCCCUAUGACGACGGCGACUCUCAGCUCUCUUACGGAAGCAGGAGGACGUCAGCACGGACUCAACCGCUCCGACAACUCACCCUCCGCCAGGCUCCGUUGCUCCUCCGACAGCCACGACAUCACACCAGCUGGGUGCCAAGAUCUCUCCGGCUGCCACAUUGGCAUGUACUUAGGGUGCUAGCUCUCCCCCGCUAGACACGUAGCACUCUGCUACACCCCCAUUGUACACCUGGAUCCUCUCCUUACGCCUAUAAAAGGAAGGACCAGGGCCCUCUUAGAGAGGGUUGGCCGCGCGGGGACGAGGACGAGACAGGCGCUCUCUUGGGGCCUGCUGCGUGUUGACGAACAGCUUCCCGUCAAGCAACCUCUCCGGCCCGGGACGGUGCUCCGUUUCGGGAGUCUUGAGUUCAUGUCCUUCGACGGCAGCUACGACAUGAUACUCCUUCCACCGCCGCGCGACAACGACAAUGGCGGCCGACAACCCGCCCGCCGGCGGCGGAAUCGACGACAUCUUCCCCGCGUGGUGGAAGAACAACAUUCGAGCUCGCCCCGUCCUCUCCCCCGCCAACGAAGGAGGAGGCGGGGCAACCAAGGCCAAGCGGGAGGCCGCGCUUUGUCGGCUGUCGAGCGAAUCGACGUCCCCAGCGCCCCAACGGGGGGCGCGUCAGGCGUCGACCUCGCGUUUGAGACGAAGGCGGGCGCCGUCCCCCCGCGACACGCCAAUCCCGAGUAAGUGGACGACGCCAGCGCGCUCGCGGAGAGCUUGCAGGACGUCGCCCUCGUACCUGAGACGACAGCGCAAUCAGUCCCCGACGUGACUAUGUCGCUCCUCGUCGACCAAAAGGUACCGACUGAUUCCCAUCCUACGUCAUUUCGACUCAGCCUCAACCCGCCUAGCGACCUUGCUUUGGCGGGCGCUCUCGUUGAGGCGAGUGCAACCCCUCUUGGGUUUCGCACGCGGUCGCCUUGGGACCGGUUGACGGACGUCUCGACCUAUGAGCCCUCUGGGUCCGAGGAAGAUGACGAUCCCAGCAUCUGUUGGGAUUUCUCUGGAUUUGGCAACCCCGGUGCCAUGCGGGACUUUAUGAGCGCAUGUGACUACUGCCUCUCCGACUGUUCCGACGGUAGCCGCAGCCUCGACGACGAGGACUACGGCCCAAGCCGCGAAUGUUUCCACGUCGGGCUAGGGGAUCCCUCCGAAGGCAACCAUCUCCGCAUGCUGGAGGAUGGUGAUCUCCCUAGGCCGGUGCCUCGCGCAGACAUCCCACGGGAGCUAGCUGUGGUCCCCGUUCCGGCAGGAGGUCACGACCCACAGCUAGAGCAAGUCCGCGGGGCGCAGGCCAGGCUCGACGAGGGAGCAGGCGCGCUUGAGCCGAUCCACCGGGACGUCGGGCAGGUAUGGGCGGGCCAACCCCCGACCGGAGAAGUACGUCACCUGCCCCAGGGUUUCCAGCACCGCGUCACCAACGACGUCAGGGUCAGGCCGCCACCCGCAUCCAGUGGGGUCGGUCAGAACCUGGCAGCCGCAGCGAUGCUCCUCCGCGCGAUGCUGGAGCCAUCAACCACCGAGGGUCGGCGAAUCCAGGGAGAGCUCAAGAAUCUCCUGGAAGGCGCUGCGGUCCGACGGGCCGAGAGCUCUGCCUCCCGAAGGCAGGGAUACCCCUCAGAACCUCAUGCCGCGACUUCCCGAUUCAUGCGUCUGUGCAAGGACAGAGCGAGCUGGUGCUCGGUCGGACAGAACGAAGGAUUAUCCAUACUAGGAUUUUGAUUUGUUUAGCGUCACUCGGAAAAUAAUUCCUCGCACCCAAUUAGGAAUAAAAUGAAUUGAGAUCGAUUGGUUUCGGAUUCAUGUUCCUUGCUCAAUCGGGUUGGGUUAAUAAAAAUCAUUGUCGCUGUCGAUUUUUGAAUUUCGGAUCGAACGCAGAGGUAUUAAGCCGAGUCGGAUAAAAUUGAUUAGUGGACGACAUAUUGAGUAUUCCGUUUGAGAGUACCGACUCGGAUUAAAAUAGUCGGACAUCGAUCGAGGUUCGAGGAGUCGGACUCGGGCACAGAUCAAUUAACAAUAGUCGAGAGUUUGAUUAAAUGGGCUUUAGAUGAGAUUUACAAGUCGAGAAUGAUUUUCGAGUUUGCAUUCGCGCUGAGAAUAGAAGUUUUAACAGGCUCCAAAUUCGGCCUUCUGUGAGAUUGAAUAACUUUGAAUUCGUUGAAAUGUGAAUGAAUAGUAUGGAUAAUCAGAGACAUACGCAAGCGAGAAAUAGAAAUUUUCACUGAGCAUCCGAGAUUAGGAUGAAUCUCCCGUCAUAACACGAAAUAGACACCUGAGUGUCACAGUAUCCCUUGAAUAGAGGGGAUUAUAGGAAACCUAGAAUCACAAAAGGUUAUUAAAUAGCCCAAUGAGGUUUUCAUCUACUAGUUUUACUCUAAUACCCUCUCGUGCUAAUAUAGUGCCCUUAACAUCAGGGAAACGUCAUUUGUGAUUUAAAAUGUGAUCUAUUGUAUUUAAUUCUUUAUAUUCCAACUUUUAGCAACUGUAUGGUGGAAAAAACGUGCCUUACAACCUUAACCUAUGUUUGGACACUUCUAUCACGCAAUUUGGCUAAAUUUUGCAUGAUCUUUAUUUUAUUUGAGAAAUAAUGUGGCAAAUUGAUGUGUGGUGUUUUGCUUGAGUGGACAUAAAUAGAGGGGAUUAUAGGAAACCUAUUAUCACAAAAGGUCAUUAACUAGCCUUCUAACGUCUUCAUCCACUAGUUGUACUCUAAUACCCUCUCAUACAGUGUUCUUAAGGCGUCGCCUAGGCGUCGCCUAGGCGACGCCUAGGCGUCCAGGCGCCCGGGCAAAACUGCCCGCCUUGCUCGCCAUACCCGCCUAGGCGUCGCCUAGGCGCCGCCUAGGCGCUAAGGCGGUUUUCUGGUCCACCUGCUCGCCUAGGCGCCUUAAGAACACUGCUCUCAUACGAAUUCAAUGCCCUCAACAUCAUAGAAAACACUAUUUUAAGUUUCAAAGUUAAUAUAUUCUUUUGAAUUCUUUAUAUUCCAACUUUUUAGGAACUGUAUGGUGGAAAAAAGGUGCCUUACAACCUUAACAUAUGUUUGGACAGAUCUCUUACGUAAUUUGGCUAAAUUUCUCAUGGUCUAUAUUUUAUUUUGAGAAACGACGUGUCAUAAUAAUGUGUGGUAUUUUACUUGAGUGGACAUAAACGCCAUCUAGGUAUGCCUUGAAUAGAAGGGAUUAUAGGAAACCUGGUAUCACAAAAUGUCAUUAGCUAGCCCAAUAUCGUAGAAACGUCAUUUGAGGUUUAUAAGGUGAUAUAUUGUUUUGAAUUCUUUAUAGUCCAACCGACCAUUUCUAGUUUAAAAAUCGUAGGUGUUAAGAUUCGAUAUUAUUGAAAAUGGUCAUUCAUGUCUAUUUUCGACAAAAAUAGGGUUAUGUAGCCAUUGAUCAUCGACCAGAGGCUCGUACACCUCAUCCCACAUAUGUUUACUUGUCAUAGAUCACAUUUUUUGAUUUCUGGUGGAGACCAUUUGUUAAUAAAAAAUCCCUAAGUGUUAUCAUUCGGUAUUAUUGAAAAUAACCGUUAAUGCUAUUUUCGAAAAAAUGGGGGUUGUGUGACCAUUGAACAAUAACUAGAGCCUCAUACACCUGACCGACAUAUGUUUUCUUGCUAUAGAUCACUUUCUUGAAUUUUUGAUGGUGACCAUUUCUUGGUUAAUAAUUCGUAGGUGUUAUUCAUCGGUAUUAUUGAAAAUGGUCGUUUAUGUUAUUUUCAUAAAAAAUAUGAGUUGUGUGGCCAUUGAUCAUCGAUCAGAGGCUUAUUCACGUCACUCCACAUAUGACAUUCUUAGAUUUCUAGACAAGUCCAAUUCUUGGUAAAAAAUCUGUAGGUUUUAUUCUUUAGAUUUAUUAAAACAGUCAUUAAUGGCUAUUUUCGAAAAAAUAGGGGUUGGGUGGCCAUUGGUCAUCAACUAGAGGCUCGUACACCUCACCCCAAAUACGUUUUCUUGCAAUAUAUCACAUUCUUAGAUUUUUAUUGGAGACCAUUUUUGGUAAAAAAAUGUCGGUGUUAUCUUUCAGUAUUAUUAAAAAUGGUCGUUAAUACUAUUUUUAACAUAAAUAGGUGUUGUGUGACCAUUGAUAAUUGACCAAAGGCUCGUAUAUCUCAUCUCACAUAUAUUUUCUUCCAAUAGAUCACAUGCUUCGAUUUCUGGUAUAGACCAAUUCUUGGUCAAAAAUGCGUAUGUGCUAUCUUUCGGUAUUAUUGAAAAUAAUCGUUAAUGACUAUUUUUGACAAAAAUGAGGUUGUGUGGCCUUUGAUUAAUGACCAGAGACUCGUACACCUACCAUAGAUCACAUUCUUGUAUUUCUAGUGUUGACCAUUUGUCGGUUAAAAAUCCAUAUGUGUUAGCAUUUAGUAUUAUUGAAAAUGAUCGUUCAUGUUAUUUUCAACAAAAAUAGCUGUUGUGUGGCUAUUGAUUAUCGACUAAAGGCUCAUACACAUCACCUCAAAUAUUUUCCUUGCCAUAAAUCACAUUCUGUUGGACACCAUUUUUAUGUGGUACCAAGUCCCCCAACCUUAAACACACUUAAAUCCUAAUAGAUAAUCUACUACUUUUCUAUAAAAGGUAUGACUUAAUACUCCAAGGAUUAAACACCAGAGUACUCCAAAGUUGAGCUAAACACACAAAAUAAGUCUUCUGAAUUGGUGCUAAGUUUGAACUUCCAGACUAUGAAACCUUGAAUCUUUAGACCACUGUUACUGCCAGUUUCAUAUGGAUUUAGGGUUAAGUGAUUUAAUAAAGUUUGUGCACCUGAUGCAACUCUAUAAUUUUGUUACAUCGACCAUUUUCAAACUAUCUACAGAUCAAAAGUUAUAAAGGCCUGAAGAGAGCUCGCUGAUAAGAAAUUUCAGAAUUCCAAACCCAGGUCAAGACUUAGUUUUGAGUUUUUUUCUAUUUUUUCCUAUGAAACUUGGAAAUCUCUACACAUGAAAGUUGCUUGGUUUGAAAAUCCAUAUAACUUUGAUAUUUUGACUUUUGGCAAAAUAUUAUCAGAUCACAAAUUUCAUCUUUUGGACCAAAACUAGAGUUUUUUAAACUAGGUUUUUUACUUUUUAUCCAUCACCACAUUGCAUUUAAUUUUUUUUGGUUCUAGUGAAUACAUUUUAAGUGUAUUAGAACACAAAGAUACCAAUGCAUAUGAUGACAUGCCAGGUUUUAGUUUCCAUUAACAACAGGGGUGUUACAAGCACCAUCUCAAGUGUCUCAAAUAUACUACACCGUAGUGGGUUUGCCAUAUAAUCUAGAUUUCGAGCUUUACUGUUGGAGCGGGGUGUUUUGUUGCCCUAAAUUAUAUAAAUUACAAUUAUUUUUAAUUUCUCUUAAAGUCGCGCAGCGUAUAGACUACUGUCGUCCGACGGCCCACGAGCAAUGCAAGCUACGAACCCAAGGGAUCUCCCAAAUAAAGUUGUGAAAGCUCUCGUUACUCACCGCCCGAUCCAACGGAUCGUGCUCUCGAAAACAAAUCUUGGUCGUCCCCUUCCCCUCAAAUCCAACGGCGUCAAGCUCACGUCCCGCAGAUCGGCUCCUCGCACCAUCCCCGCCCCGCCGCUAUAAAAACACUCAUCUGUUGCAUUUCGAUUCCGAACCCAAAUCAUCAUUCCCUUUGCCUUCACAUCAGAGUAGACGCGCACCCUAGGCUCUCGGGAGAUGGAGGACAGUAGCGCGGUGGUGGAGAAGUUGGCGUUUGGGCGAAAGCUAGGCGGCGAGCCAAAGAAGAAGGCGGUGUCGCGGUCUGUCAAGGCUGAGCUCCAGUUUCUAGUUGGGCGCAUCAGGCGGUACCUUAAGGAAGGUCAGUACGCGCAGCGCGUCGGCAGGGGCGCGCCCGUGUUCUUUGCCAGCGUCCUUGAGUACCUCGCCGCCGAGGUCCUGUAGCUGGCGGGCGCCGCGACGCGCAAUAGUAAGAGGGGCCGCAUCGUCCCGCGCCACCUCCUCCUCGCCAUUCGUAAGGACGAGGAGCUCGGCAAGCUGCUUGCCGGGGUCACCAUCGCGCACGGCGGUGUGCUGCUCAACAUCAACCUCGCCCUCCUCCCCAACAAGGCCGCCGCCGCCGCAGGCAGUAACAAGUCCCCCACGAAGUCCGCCGCGAAGUCGCCGAAGUAGUGUCUUGUCUCACGUUCACCCCGUCCUAUACACUGUGGUUGUGGAUGUCGACUUUUGCCGUUUUGGAAGUGUGUAGUGAUGCGUCGCCUGCGAUUAACCUAAGUUCUAGUUAAAUUUCUAGCUCUAGUGCUGCUUGGUAAUGGGGUCUGCAUGCAAUAUGGUGUUCACAUGUGAUGAUACAAAAAUGUCAAACUCAGACAUAGAUAAAGUGAAAUUGUUUCUCCUUUUGUAUUUCCUUACAAAUUGGGUAUUACAGAAACUUAGGUUAAAAUUAUUCACUUUGAGUUAUUCCGAACCAAGCACCUAAUAAUAACUUAGAUUAUACAGAACAAUCAAGUCGCAUGGCUAACGCCUAGUCAGCGUUUGAACUUCGGACAGUGAGUUAUUCCGAAGUCCGUGGCCUUCUCGAUGAGGUUGGUGAGCGAGUGCUCGUACUCGAAUUCAGUGAGGUCGCACAACAUCUUCCCAGCAUCCCCUCCCGCUGUCGCCCCGUGUUCUGUUCUAUAGCUAGAAAUACGGUGGCGAUGUGCCUUGUACAAGAUGCAAAGGCGUCAACGUUUUUGUUUGUUACUUUGCUGUUUUUUGAAAUUGACGGGACCUGAACAUUGUCUAGUCAUGAGAACACAAAUCAUCCGCAGAUUAUUGCCCCGAAAUUUGUAUUGCUCACUGUCUGGGAGAGUUUGUCCAGCAUUCCACUUGAAGCAAAUUGGUUGCAUAUUUGAAUCCUCAACCCAAUCUGCACACGUGUCUAUCUACAAUUGACCUGGUACAACAAUUCAACAACGACGCUAAGUCACUAGUUUAACUACAUUUCAGAUACACCAAUACAGCAUCAAAGCAGCACAAUACUACAGAUGUGCUGUUGGGCACAUAUGUAUUGUAUGCAGCCUGAAGAUUUUGGUCGGAUGUGCCUGUCAAUCUACCAAUUUCGUCAUAAAUGGACACAGAUGCAACAUGUAUGCAGCCAUCACUUCGUUUGGUAACGCUAGCACCCAUAUCACAGAUGUUUGCAAAACAUGAUAGGAUGCAAAUCUUACUUAUUAUGGAAUGAUAAGAGAGAAUUAGUUCAGCAUCAAAUAAAGCAAGGCACUUCUUCCCAUUAAACUUCACAUGGAAUGGAGACCCCAUUACCAAGCAACACUAGAGCUAGAAAUUUAACUAGAACUUAGGUCAAUCGCAGACGACACAUCACUACACACUUGCAAAACGGCAAAAGUCAACAUCCACAACCACAGUGUAUAGCACGGGGUGAACGUGAGACGAGACACUACUUCGG
This 11334-nucleotide long non-coding RNA is filed under the name Zea mays. Its description in RNAcentral is "long non-coding RNA (ZMAY_LNC000604)". The record is from RNAcentral. Lineage: Eukaryota; Viridiplantae; Streptophyta; Magnoliopsida; Poales; Poaceae.